UGGUGGAGUGAUCUGUCUGGUUGAUUCCGAUAACGAACGAGACGGGAGCGGGCAGUUUUGCCUCGCGUUUCUCACGAAACGCGUGGGCGUACUUCUCGGACAACUGCCUUCUAGGCAGCGGAAGCGUCCCGCAAUAACA
RNAcentral lists this ribosomal RNA (139 nucleotides) under uncultured eukaryote. Its description in RNAcentral is "partial 18S ribosomal RNA". It matches the Rfam family "Eukaryotic small subunit ribosomal RNA", at positions 1299 to 1458 of the family's 1831-position model. The record is from RNAcentral.